This 148-nucleotide non-coding RNA is filed under the name Homo sapiens (human). Lineage: Eukaryota; Metazoa; Chordata; Mammalia; Primates; Hominidae. The record is from Rfam by way of RNAcentral.
GCUGGGUGUGGUGGUGCACACCUAUAAUCCCAGAUACUCAGGAGGCUGAGGCAGGAGAAUUGCUUGAACCCAGGAGGCCGAGGUUGUAGUGAGCUGAGAUCGCACCACUGCACUCCAGCCUGGGCAACAAAGCGAGACUCUGUCUCAA